RNAcentral lists this long non-coding RNA (867 nucleotides) under Gouania willdenowi (blunt-snouted clingfish). RNAcentral's name for it is "lncRNA (ENSGWIG00000001082.1)". The record is from RNAcentral. Lineage: Eukaryota; Metazoa; Chordata; Actinopteri; Blenniiformes; Gobiesocidae.
CCUGGGAUUACGCAGCACAUGGACUAUAUCAGGGACCAAAACAGCCAAACAUCCAAGUCUGCAUUAUGGACAGAAACCAGAGAGAGCACGAGGAGAGGCUGGUGGAGGUCAGUGUGGAGAUGAGACCGAGUCUGGAAGCUUCUGCACCAGUGAGGGCGGCAGAAGGGACGAGGGAUGCCCGGGGAGGUUCGUGCAGCUGCUGCUUCAGGUGCUCCGUGGUUGUGGCCAUAGUGAUGGGGCUGAUGGUCGUGGCUCUGGUGCUGGCCUUCAUCGCUCAUCAUGUCCUCCUCAGACCACCAUGCAGCCAGAGCUACGCACGUGAUGCUACAGCGCUGACUCCAGAUGCCAAACUUAUUCUAACCUGCAAAGUGAAAAACGGUGAUAAAGAGGGACGACAUGACAUCUUCACGACAGAAAAAGCCGGAAUCUUCUUCAUCUUCGGAUGGGUGAAGGUGCCCGACGUCACCAACCAGGAAAUCAUUCUCAAACAAAUGAGGAACGGCACCAGCAUAAGCAUCCAAAAGAAGAGGAUUGAAGAUCACAAGGUCUUCUUCUUCGACAAGGUCACGAUGUACGCUAACACCUGUGUAAGCCUAUACUUCACAUUUAACCACAUAGACAGUUUAUUCCAUGUCUAUGAACUACAAUUAAGGAAUCAGUCAAAGCUGUAGAUUCAAAUAUUGUGCAGUUUAUUUAAAUUUCCGGUUCCAAGGGAGAACAGAUGAUUUGAUGAACGAAGGGUGAACAGUUUCAUUGUUGCCUUGUGUUUGUCGGGCCCCGAGAGGGAGUGGCCUCACACAAUAGGGAGGAAUUCACUCUCCUGUCAGAGGUGAGCUCAGCAGCAAAACAAAGCUGCACUCGUCACAG